CAUGCAAGUCGAACGCUUCUUUUUCCACCGGAGCUUGCUCCACCGGAAAAAGAGGAGUGGCGAACGGGUGAGUAACACGUGGGUAACCUGCCCAUCAGAAGGGGAUAACACUUGGAAACAGGUGCUAAUACCGUAUAACAAUCGAAACCGCAUGGUUUUGAUUUGAAAGGCGCUUUCGGGUGUCGCUGAUGGAUGGACCCGCGGUGCAUUAGCUAGUUGGUGAGGUAACGGCUCACCAAGGCGACGAUGCAUAGCCGACCUGAGAGGGUGAUCGGCCACAUUGGGACUGAGACACGGCCCAAACUCCUACGGGAGGCAGCAGUAGGGAAUCUUCGGCAAUGGACGAAAGUCUGACCGAGCAACGCCGCGUGAGUGAAGAAGGUUUUCGGAUCGUAAAACUCUGUUGUUAGAGAAGAACAAGGAUGAGAGUAACUGUUCAUCCCUUGACGGUAUCUAACCAGAAAGCCACGGCUAACUACGUGCCAGCAGCCGCGGUAAUACGUAGGUGGCAAGCGUUGUCCGGAUUUAUUGGGCGUAAAGCGAGCGCAGGCGGUUUCUUAAGUCUGAUGUGAAAGCCCCCGGCUCAACCGGGGAGGGUCAUUGGAAACUGGGAGACUUGAGUGCAGAAGAGGAGAGUGGAAUUCCAUGUGUAGCGGUGAAAUGCGUAGAUAUAUGGAGGAACACCAGUGGCGAAGGCGGCUCUCUGGUCUGUAACUGACGCUGAGGCUCGAAAGCGUGGGGAGCAAACAGGAUUAGAUACCCUGGUAGUCCACGCCGUAAACGAUGAGUGCUAAGUGUUGGAGGGUUUCCGCCCUUCAGUGCUGCAGCUAACGCAUUAAGCACUCCGCCUGGGGAGUACGACCG
RNAcentral lists this ribosomal RNA (864 nucleotides) under Enterococcus hirae. Its description in RNAcentral is "bacterial SSU rRNA". It matches the Rfam family "Bacterial small subunit ribosomal RNA", at positions 54 to 888 of the family's 1533-position model. The record is from RNAcentral. Lineage: Bacteria; Bacillati; Bacillota; Bacilli; Lactobacillales; Enterococcaceae.